Molecule: ribosomal RNA, 544 nt
Filed under: uncultured bacterium
Lineage: Bacteria
Description: bacterial SSU rRNA
Rfam family: Bacterial small subunit ribosomal RNA
Source: RNAcentral
ACGGGAGGCAGCAGUGAGGAAUCUUCCACGAUGGGGGCAACCCUGAUGGAGCAACGCCGCGUGCAGGAUGAAGGCCUUCGGGUUGUAAACUGCUUUUAUAAGUGAGGAAUAUGACGGUAACUUAUGAAUAAGGAUCGGCUAACUACGUGCCAGCAGCCGCGGUCAUACGUAGGAUCCGAGCGUUAUCCGGAGUGACUGGGCGUAAAGAGUUGCGUAGGCGGUUUGUUAAGUGAAUAGUGAAAUCUGGUGGCUCAACCAUUCAGGCUAUUAUUCAAACUGGCAAACUCGAGAGUGGUAGAGGUCACUGGAAUUUCUUGUGUAGGAGUGAAAUCCGUAGAUAUAAGAAGGAACACCGAUGGCGUAGGCAGGUGACUGGACCAUUUCUGACGCUAAGGCACGAAAGCGUGGGGAGCGAACCGGAUUAGAUACCCGGGUAGUCCACGCCGUAAACGAUGGAUACUGGCUGUUGGAGGUAUCGACCCCUUCAGUAGCGAAGCUAACGCGUUAAGUAUCCCGCCUGUGGAGUACGGCCGCAAGGCUAAAA